CCUACGGGUGGCAGCAGUGAGGAAUAUUGGUCAAUGGGCUUACGCCUGAACCAGCCAAGUCGCGUGAGGGAAGACUGCCCUAUGGGUUGUAAACCUCUUUUGUCAGGGAGCAAUUGGCGCUAUGUGUAGCGUUAUCGAGAGUACCUGAAGAAAAAGCAUCGGCUAACUCCGUGCCAGCAGCCGCGGUAAUACGGAGGAUGCGAGCGUUAUCGGGAUUUAUUGGGUUUAAAGGGUGCGUAGGCGGAAUGCAAAGUCAGCGGUAAAAUCGCGGGGCUCAACCUCGAUCCGCCGUUGAAACUGGCAUUCGUGAGUGGGCGAGAGGUAUGCGGAAUGCGUGGUGUAGCGGUGAAAUGCGUAGAGAUCACGAAGAAGUCUGAUUGCGAAGGCAGCAUACCGGAGCCCAACUGACGCUGAAGCGCGAAAGCGUGGGUAUCGAACAGGAUUAGAUACCCGAGUAGUC
This 460-nucleotide ribosomal RNA is filed under the name uncultured bacterium. RNAcentral's name for it is "partial 16S ribosomal RNA". It matches the Rfam family "Bacterial small subunit ribosomal RNA", at positions 338 to 795 of the family's 1533-position model. The record is from RNAcentral.